AUUCCUGUAUUUUAAUGGAUAAAAUUUUAAACUACGGAUUUAAAGCUAAAGGUUCAAAUCCUUUCAGGAA
Molecule: transfer RNA, 70 nt
Filed under: Gephyrocapsa oceanica
Lineage: Eukaryota; Haptophyta; Isochrysidales; Noelaerhabdaceae
Description: partial tRNA-Arg
Rfam family: tRNA
About the family: Transfer RNA (tRNA) molecules are approximately 80 nucleotides in length. Their secondary structure includes four short double-helical elements and three loops (D, anti-codon, and T loops).
Source: RNAcentral